CAAGACCAGUGAUGGAGCCACGAAACCAACAAGAAGGCUGAAAACAAACAAUUUAUUCCAGUCGCUUUAUUUUCAAUAUUAUUGUAUUUAAUUCCAAAUAAUAACGUUGUUUCAAUAAAUAUUCCUGAACGAAUACGUGUUUGGAUGAUCGCCAUCAUGGAAUUGUAUUUCUUCAGAAUGCGAUCAAACAGGCGACCGACAGAAAGAUGCCCAUCUCCCAAAUAAUAAAAUUUGAAAUGACCAAAAUUAAAUAAUAUUAGGGGAAAUGUUUAUAUUUCUGUAGAUAAAGUGUUCUGUGGUUAAUUAAAUUGAUGGGGUAUAGUUUACAAUGUUAGGAAAGUACGAACAAUUAAAUGCACGGAAAAUUUGAGUUUUCUUUCGCGUGGUAAAUCUGGCUGGUAAUAAUAUACCGACAAUGAAAGCAGUGCUAUUCGAUACUGAAUUAUAAUAAAGUAGUAAAUUAAUUAUGAGACGAGUAACACACGUUGAAAAUCUUGCGCAAUUUAUACGUCUAACUUGUUAGGUAACUCCAAAUAUAACAGGCAGAAAGAAAAUCUGACGAUUGCAACUUAACACCGAAUCAUUCCAUACGAGGAACUGAAUUUCUAAUUUUCAUAUUACAGUCAAUUUAGUGACUGAAAAUGUUCAGUCCUCUACAUAUUGGAAAGUUUGUACAUGUGACAAGAUGGACAGUCAGAUUUACUUCAUUAAUAUGGUAUGUUUCCUUUCAUGCAUGGUAAAUAGGUGUGUUAUGUAUCCUAGCUAAUUAAAUUAAAAUUCACUCUCCACCCUUGAAGAGGGAUGAUUAAAUUAAGUUUAGUUCAUUACGUAGACUAGUAUUGUCAUUAUUAGCAGUUUCUUUCUGGGUGUUUUCAGCACUGGAAUUGUUAAUAUGCUUAGUCAGACACGCCCUUGACUGAUUUGUAAUUAUUCCCUUUGUGUUUCGUCGACACAUUACAAAAUUAAAGACAAGCAAAAGGCGUACAAGACUUCAAGAAUAAUUACGGAAUAUAGAUUGCUAUAAUCCUUUAAAACACAGCAGGCCUACCUACCACAUACUUUAACAUUUAAUAAUUGCGUUUAUGGAUUCCGUAUAAUUUUCAGAAUAAAGAGCGAUGAUUUUUCCAAACACCA
Non-coding RNA from Zootermopsis nevadensis, 1134 nucleotides. Lineage: Eukaryota; Metazoa; Arthropoda; Insecta; Blattodea; Termopsidae. The record is from RefSeq and is a predicted model, not a curated record.